This 2141-nucleotide long non-coding RNA is filed under the name Homo sapiens (human). Its description in RNAcentral is "long non-coding RNA NONHSAT223577.1". The stretch from base 391 to 474 matches the Rfam family "mir-322 microRNA precursor family". Lineage: Eukaryota; Metazoa; Chordata; Mammalia; Primates; Hominidae. The record is from RNAcentral.
CCGCUCUCCGAGCUUCGGCAGCAGCCAGCGCCCCCUCCACGCUGCGACCCCGGCUCUCGGCUCUCCGUCCCUGUAGCUCCGUGCCCAGCACCUCGCGCCCCGCAACCUCGCCGUCUCCCAAGUCCCGGGCCCCGCUUCUGUCGCUGUCCGUCGCUGUCCGUGUGUCGCUCGCUCGGUCUGUCUCUCCGCCUCCCCAGCCCUUCCUUCCUCCCUGUCUCCCUCGCUGGCUUGCACGUUCGCUCGCUCUCGGACGCGGCGAAACAGCUUCGCAGGCAAAUCCCAGAAACCUUUGCAAAAAGCUUGCAAUGAAAUUUAAGAAGUUCUUCGAUUUCGGCGCCAUUUUCGAGUGGAGCCAGAGGUACCCCCAGAUCGAUCCCCCUUCAUUGACUCCGAGGGGAUACAGCAGCAAUUCAUGUUUUGAAGUGUUCUAAAUGGUUCAAAACGUGAGGCGCUGCUAUACCCCCUCGUGGGGAAGGUAGAAGGUGGGGUCUGCCGGACGCGUGUUCCUGCCACCAGGUGCCCGCUCCCCGCGAGGCCGGCUCAGGAGCAGGACAACGAAGAAAACCUAUCUUCAGUCCCCACCCACGAAAUGCUGGGGGGUGGGGAGGACUGGAAAAGGAGUAAGGGGAGAGGAAGGGUGAGCAGCUGCAAGAAGUCUUUACACCUCUCUGCGGUUCCUGGUAAACGCGCUCAUGUCCUGGGUAUGGAAGGGACUUAAGAAUUCAGGAAAGAUCAAAAUAACGGGCCUCUUCCCCACUCCCUCGCCCUCCCUUCCCCGCUGCUGGGGGGUUAGGGAGGCUCCGUGGAGCUCCAGCACUCUAGAAGGAUCGGGUGAGGCGCGAGGCCUUGCGGGCGGGUGAACCCAAGGUGGGGUGGAAGGCUCCAACCCGCCCAAUCUGAGCCCGAGGCCUGCUGAGAAGCAUGGGGGCCUUGGGAUAGUUCCAGAAUGAGGAUGUGCGUUUCUAGCUGCUUUGCGCCCUCCUCCCCCAAAAAUCUGCUACCACAAUUCCAACCCGGCGGCACGCCCCCAAGACUCCUUUGUCGCCCCAGGGGCGGGACCUGAGCUGUCGAUUUCAGGAGCCCUUCGUGACUUCAAAAGUCCUGGGCACUGUUGCUCAUGAGUGCUGCACAACUGUCGCCCUCUAAAGCCACCUCCAUCCCUCACUGGGCUGGCCUCCUGAGCCUUCGAAGGAAGCCCGGUGCCAGCCAGCCUUCCUGAAAGACCAAGCCCGCGCCAUCCGGCUUCCUCCAGUGGACGCCUGCAGGACCCAGGAAUGUUUUUCUUGAAGGCAUCCAGCAUCUCCAGUUAGCAGUACUGAUUUUUUUUCCCCCCAACAAAGGAACACUACAUCAACACUGUUGGCGGGGACCUGGACACAGAAGACUCCUGUUUCAAGAAAAUACAAUCAUCUCUCAAAGGCUGUAAUUUAUAUGCAUUUUAAAACUCUAGGCAUUGAAAACCACCCAAGUGUCCCAAAUAGAAGGGUAAUAUAUAAUCAAUCACUCAGUGUAAUAUUAUACAUCCUUUAAAAAUGUUAUUGGGAAAUGUUUUAUGAUCUGUAAGUCCAAGGAAUCCUCUCCCACCAUUUCUUUCCCCCCGCUGUUCCCCCAUACCCACACUUCUUUGUUCCAAUUGGCAUGUAAAUUUGGUUUUCCCGCCAAAUGAGUCAGUCAUGAUGGGAACCUCAACUGAUUUGAACAGAUGUGUGUCAAUGUUACUUGGAAAACUAGAUGUCAAUAACCAGGGUCACAGAAAAAGGCAGUGGUCACAACUCUGUAAAAAUGUAUGCAUGCACACAGACAAGAACUAAAGUGGAACCCCACACAGGAAAACAGUGGGCUGUACUCCAGUGCUGGGACAUUGAAUGACUGUAUGCUGCUUUUGAUUUCCGUUAAUAUGGGCAACUGUCCAAUUAAAAAAAAAACUCCUAAGGACUCUGCAGUGCAAAUUGUUUUGCUGAUUGUUUUAAAACACCAUACCUAUCAACUCAUCAAGGCAAAUGGGGCAGCGGGGGACUGGGUUCGUUCCCUGAAUCCUGGACUGCUAUAGAGCUCAGGGCAACAUUUGCAGAAAACCUGAGCCUAUGAGAUGGGAGUUAUAGGCAGCUUUCCUGAGGCUGUGUAAGAUGAAAAUAAAACUA